CCUACGGGUGGCAGCAGUGGGGGAUAUUGCACAAUGGAGGGAACCCUGAUGCAGCGACGCCGCGUGGGUGAAGAAGCGCCUCGGCGCGUAAAGCCCUGUCAGCAGGGGAGAAAAUGACGGUACCUGAAGAAGAAGCCCCGGCUAACUACGUGCCAGCAGCCGCGGUAAUACGUAGGGGGCAGGCGUUAUCCGGAUUUACUGGGUGUAAGGGGGGCGCAGACGGUGGUGCAGGCCGGGAGUGAAAGCCCGGGGCCCAACGCAGGGGCUGCACUUGAAACUGCGUGGCUGGAGUGCAGGAGGGGGAGGCGGAAUUCCUGGGGUAGCGGGAAAAUGC
This 334-nucleotide ribosomal RNA is filed under the name uncultured bacterium. RNAcentral's name for it is "partial 16S ribosomal RNA". It matches the Rfam family "Bacterial small subunit ribosomal RNA", at positions 338 to 689 of the family's 1533-position model. The record is from RNAcentral.